Molecule: long non-coding RNA, 4861 nt
Organism: Aquila chrysaetos chrysaetos
Lineage: Eukaryota; Metazoa; Chordata; Aves; Accipitriformes; Accipitridae
Exons: 4
Source: RefSeq, a predicted model, not a curated record
GCACCGAGCACCCAAACUUGCACAACUUUGUAAUAAACAAUAUCUGGUCUCCGUGUGUGAGAUCGGCUCACCGCACACCGGGUACCGAAACCCACUUUUGGGACAACAGUUUUGGCAGCCCACAGGGGACAUCACUGAGAAUCCUUGCCUGGAUCGACUUGCUGCAAUCAGUGAGGAGAAGCGGACCGCUCGGACUCCAGCACACACCGAACUGAUUUUUGGUGACUCCGACGGCUCCUCUCCCUGCUGGGCGUGUUGGAUUUAAAGGAUGCCGCCUUUUGCAUUCUGCUGGAAGCUGAGAGUCAGAAGUUAUUUGCUUUUGAAUAGGAGAGUCCAUCCACAGGACAAAAAGUGCAACUCUGCUGGACAGUACUACCACAAGGAUUCAAGAACAGUCCUACUUUGUUUGGUAACGUACUGGCCAAAGAAUUAGAACACUGGCAAGCCACAUUGUUGCCUAUUACCGGUGAUGAGAAUUUGGUACAUGAUUGCAUUCAAUCUCUUGAACAAGUGUAUUCCCGUCAACCAGAUUUGAAGGACACCCCUCUGGAAAAUCCAGACUGGAUCUUAUUUAUGGAUGGUAGUAGUUUUGUUUCAAAAGGAGAACAAAAGGCUGGAUAUGCAGUAGUGACUCUGAAUGAAGAAAUUGAGUCUCGGCCUCUUCUUAUACACACUUCUGCACAAAAAGCUGAAUUGAUUGCUCUUACCGGAGCCUUAGAGUUAUCACAAGGGAAACGAGUGAAUAUUUAUACCGAUUCUAAAUAUGCUUUUGGAGUUGUGCAGGCUCAUGGAGCCAUAUGGAAAGAACAGGGACUUUUAUCAUCCCAAGGAACUCCUGUGAAGCAUGGGGCAGAAAUCUUAAAGUUAUUAACAGCAGUCACUAUGCCGAAAGAAGUUGCUGUAAUACAUUGCAAAGCUCAUCAAUUUGGAUAUACAGACAUAAUUAGGGAUAGUUGAAAAGCUGAUGAAACUGCGAAAAGAGUAUCCUUUAAUCAAGUAAUGGGCACGCUGGUGCCGGAAACAAUGACAAAAUUGGAAGUUCCAAAACGUAAUGAAAAAGGAAAUGAGUUAGCCAAACUUUUAGAUUGUGAAAAAACUAAGGAUGGAUGGUGGGUUACCCCGAAUGGACAAUGCAUAGUUAAUGCUCCAGUUAUGAGAGAAUUAUUGGAAAGGACUCAUAAAAGUACACAUAUGGGAGCUGACACACUGGUUUUCAGCAUUAAAAGAUAUACAAUAGGACCCAGAGUGCAACAGUAUGCUGAAGGACUUGUUAAACAAUGCCAAGUUUGUUGCAAGAAUAAUCCAAAAAUAGAAAAGAAGCCUUCACCUGGAGAGGUAAAGUGAGGGUAUCUCCCUGGCAAAUACUGGCAAAUUGAUUUUUCUGAGUUACCAAAAAGUAGAGGAUAUAAGUACCUUUUGGUAUUAGUGGAUACCUUUUCAGGGUGGCCCGAAGCCUUCCUGUGUUGCACCAACAAGGCUAGAGAAGUAAUAAAGAUAUUAUUGAGGGAAAUAAUUCUUAGGUUUGGAAUCCCAGAAGAAAUCUCCUCAGAUAAAAGCCCCCAUUUUAUUGCUGAAGUAGUGAAAGAAGUUUCUAAAUUCUUACAAAUAAAAUGGGAAUUACAUACCCCAUGGAGGCCACAAUCCAGUGGAAAAGUAGAAAGAAUGAAUCAGACCCUAAAAAGACAAAUUGCAAAAUUGUGCCAAGAAACUUAUUCUAAAUGGGUAGAUAUGCUGCCUAUAGCCUUAAUGCGAAUCUGAAUUACACCUAGAACUAAAGAGAAAGUAAGUCCCUUUGAAAUAUUGUAUGGGAAACCAUAUUCCGUAAACCUAACAGGAGACCAUGGGCAGAUGCAUGUAACAGGAGAUCAGAUGCUCUCUGAAUAUCUUUUGUCAAUGGCAAAGACUCUUUCCCCCCUAUACAGGUAUAAACGAACAAGAACUCCAGUGCCAUUAACACGCCAGUACACUUCUUCCAACCUGGGGAUCAAGUGUAUCUCUGGACAUGGAGAGAUGAACCAUUAAAGGAGGAGUGGCAAGGACCGUAUAUUGUGGUGUUGGUAACAAAUACUGCCGUCAAAUUAAAGGGAAUAGAUUCCUGGAUUCACUACACUUGAGUAAAAACGGCUCUGGGAGAAAAGUAGACUUCUGAACAGAUACAGCCACUGAAACUGAGGAUCUCCAAAGCCUCAUGAAUUGUACCUGGUCCGUUUAUUCGGUAUUUGUUAAAAUAUGUAUCAAAUUGUGGGAAUCAUUCUGUUUCAAUUUUGUACCAUAGGCUUACAAGCUCAGUGUACCAUGAUCUACCUAUUCCCGCAAAUGUGUCAUGGCAAAAUUUGUGGAUUAAUACUAAUAUUGACCCUAGAGAGAUAUAGGAAUUGAACGACUUGAUUGUUUGAUUCAGAAGAAUUUCCACUGAUCUAGAUGAAAUUUGGAAACAGACUAAGAUAUUACAUGAAAUUCAAAAAGAUGACACAUCCUGGGGAUUUGAAGAAGCAUGGAAAUGGUUAACUUCCUGGUUUCCUGACCUGAGCUUUUGGAUUAAAAGGUUAAUAGCUAUAAUAAUAAUUAUACUGCUUGCCUUUAUAUGCAUAUAUGUUGUGUUAAAAUGUACUUUAAAUGUUGUUCAACUGUAAGAAAAGUAGUAUAUGAAAAGAUUCUAUGAGACUUAAAUAGGAAGUACAAGUUUCUUUGUAUAAAUCUCAAAGGGGGGAAUUGUUAUCUAAGCAAGCAGAGGGUUAAAAAUCUACGAAGAAUUUAGUGAAGUUAGAUGUUGCACAUACUAACAAAACCAAAUAUGUACACAAUGUCUAGGGUCAGGAUGACCGUCCUUGAGGUUGUCAGAAGCGAUGAAUUAGAGAACUACUAAUCAGGAGUUGGCUAUCCUUGAAGGAGAAACAUCCUGGAAAAUAUGUCAACUAUAUGUACUUUUAAUUAUCAUGUUUGUACUUCAUUUUGGAUAGUUAGCUAAACUGCGUCCUUAAGCGAACUACCCUCAUUAUAAUACUAAAACUCACACCCACUGGGCAGGAGACCCCGGCCCAGGCGGAGACCCUUACUCAUAGAGCAUGCGUAAUGAGAACAGAGAUUGUGUAACCAUAUGCAAAUUACUAACCAAUCAGUAUUAGAGGGAAGUCUGUGGGAACCUAGCGAGUGAAAAUAAUGUAUAUAAAAGGAACUCUGGAGAAUACCGAGGUGUGCUAGUUAGUGGGAAAGCACCGAGCACCCAAACUUGCACAACUUUGUAAUAAACAAUAUCUGGUCUCCGUGUGUGAGAUUGGCUCACCGCACACCGGGUACCGAAACCCACUUUUGGGACAACAGUCUUGCUUUCCUGUAGUUUUUUAAGCCACCAUCCUACAUGCACACGAGUGGAGCAAAACUCGAGCUGUUUGGGAACAUCACCCACUCAGCAGCAAGCCUGAGCUCUCUGGCCACUUUCCUUCUGUACCCGGAGCGCUAUCGGUCAGACACAAGCACGCUGCUGGGAUCCCGGGAACUUACCCGAUGUUUUAUAGCUGGAGGAUAUCUGCCAGCGAUGACCGCUAGUUCCUCAUGGGUGUAGUGCCAACCUUCCUCUUCUUGAGAAAUAAACCCCAGGAUGCUCUGGUUGAUGGUGCAUGCACAGAGGGGGUGAGUGUCAACUCCAUCCUAACAGAGUUAAAACCUGCAUGGCCUGCUGAUAUCCCCAUUUUGUUGCUAAACGAAUGGAGCAAACCUUAUCAAAAUGAGCAGACUGCAGUCCCGCUAACGUAGCUCCGCUUGCGCUAGAGAUAAUUGAAGCUUUAAUAAAGGUGCGCAUUAUCCAGAUUGUGGCUGGAGUGCUUAUGUGAGGAGAAGCAUCAAUCGCAGGUCACUGUAUUUAACUUUUAUCAAAUAUUUAGGUGGGUGGCAAAGUGCGUUCCUGUGCUGCUCUUGGGGAAAGAGUGUUGGGCUCCAAGAUACAGAAUGAAUCAUCAGAUCCCUUUUGCCUACAUCAGUUUCCUGCAGAUUGGGAGAGUGAGGAUUUAAAUUUUAGUUACCUCACCUGGAGAUGGGAGAUACCACGUGCUGUGGUCUUAGAAACAGAGGCUUGAUGACCAAGAACUGCAGUUCCCAAGUGGAAGGCCUUCGAUCUCAUCUGCUGGUGAAGAGACGGAUCUCUGCUGGGUGUGCUGCUCUGCCCAGGUUAGCAGGUCGCAAAGACCGGAGCAGCACGCUCAGGACUGGCCCAGGACCUGCGUUGCCAUCACAGCGGCCUUUCCCAUCCAGGUCCCCCCGAGACCUGAGCACCCCGUUCCCGCUCCGCGGGGCUGGCUGCCUGCUGGGACAGAGCCCAGCCUUGGAAAGGGUGGAAGAAACAGCGGCAAUUGCUCUCCCCAUCUCUGCUUUUGGGGUGAUGGGGAAAAGCAGAGCCUUGCUGAAGAUUAGCACGCUAGCUGCAGUAGUCGUUACUGCGACGAUGCCAGUCCCAGGCUCAACUCAAUGGGGGAAGAGGGAGGAAAAGAGGGGACCCCGCCGCGGCGAGGGCACAGUGCGACGGAGAAAGCGAGGGCUGCGUGGAACGGGGCUGCGGUCAGGGUCCUGCGGGCAGAUGUGACCCAGAGCUGCCCGGGGGCUUUCCCUGCUCCCCCUGCCCUGGAGGGGGCCAGAGCCGGGCCACCGAAUGGGCGCUGGUGGCCACUAGAGGACGGUGCAGACCGGGCCAGGCGGCUCCGGCACGGAUGGCACUUGCCGGCUGCGUAGCGAAGGCAGCGCGGAGCCCGUUUGCUACGAGAUUCCACCGAAGCCUCCGCUUCCUCCGGCUUCCCCUGGGAAUACGUGUGCCCAGCCGGGCUGGAGCAUCACCGCCGGCCUGUAACCAGGGAGGAGAGUAAAUCCCCCA